Molecule: ribosomal RNA, 255 nt
Filed under: uncultured bacterium
Lineage: Bacteria
Description: partial 16S ribosomal RNA
Rfam family: Bacterial small subunit ribosomal RNA
Source: RNAcentral
UACGGGGGGAGCAAGCGUUGUUCGGAUUUACUGGGCGUAAAGGGCGCGUAGGCGGCGCAACAAGUCACUUGUGAAAUCUCCGGGCUUAACCCGGAGCGGCCAAGUGAUACUGUCGUGCUAGAGUGCGGAAGGGGCUACUGGAAUUCUCGGUGUAGCGGUGAAAUGCGUAGAUAUCGAGAGGAACACCUGCGGCGAAGGCGGGUAGCUGGGCCGACACGUGACGCUGGAGGCGCGAAAGCCAGGGGAGCGAACGGG